RNAcentral lists this unclassified non-coding RNA (389 nucleotides) under soil metagenome. RNAcentral's name for it is "partial contains 5.8S ribosomal RNA, internal transcribed spacer 2, and large subunit ribosomal RNA". The stretch from base 1 to 122 matches the Rfam family "5.8S ribosomal RNA", at positions 35 to 154 of the family's 154-position model. The record is from RNAcentral.
GAUGAAGAACGUAGCGAAAUGCGAUACUUGGUGUGAAUUGCAGAAUCCCGUGAACCAUCGAGUCUUUGAACGCAAGUUGCGCCCGAAGCCAUUAGGCCGAGGGCACGCCUGCCUGGGCGUCACACGUCGUUGCCCCCCCAUCUACUCCUUCGGGAUUGCGGGGGGCGGAUGAUGGCCUCCCGUGCGCCUCGUCGCGCGGUUGGCAUAAAUGCCAAGUCCUCGGCGACGCACGCCACGACAAUCGGUGGUUGCGAAACCUCGGUUGCCCGUCGUGUGCGGUCGUCGCGCAUCGAGGGCUCGAAAAAAUUGCCGGGCUCCGGCUCGGCUUUCAACGCGACCCCAGGUCAGGCGGGGUUACCCGCUGAAUUUAAGCAUAUCAAUACGGAGGA